UAACUGAAGAGUUUGAUCAUGGCUCAGAUUGAACGCUGGCGGCAGGCUUAACACAUGCAAGUCGAGCGGGGGAAGGUAGCUUGCUACCGGACCUAGCGGCGGACGGGUGAGUAAUGCUUAGGAAUCUGCCUAUUAGUGGGGGACAACAUCUCGAAAGGGAUGCUAAUACCGCAUACGUCCUACGGGAGAAAGCAGGGGAUCUUCGGACCUUGCGCUAAUAGAUGAGCCUAAGUCG
RNAcentral lists this ribosomal RNA (235 nucleotides) under Acinetobacter baumannii. RNAcentral's name for it is "partial 16S ribosomal RNA". It matches the Rfam family "Bacterial small subunit ribosomal RNA", at positions 1 to 238 of the family's 1533-position model. Lineage: Bacteria; Pseudomonadati; Pseudomonadota; Gammaproteobacteria; Moraxellales; Moraxellaceae. The record is from RNAcentral.